CCCGCCAACUUCUCCCGACAGUGAAACUUUGUAAAGCGACUUAGUCAAAGUUUAAUAAAUUCCUUCGAGGAAGUUUCAAAGCGGUUCUACGCGGGAUUGCAAAUGAUUACGUUUCGUCGUGCUAGAGAAUAUGCGAAGAUGGGAGAAAUCGAUAUGUAGGACGGACAGAAACAAAUAAAUAGAUAGAAGGAACACACUAAUAUAAUUAUGAAAAUAAGGAUAUUUUAAGUUAUAUUAAUAGAUGUGAAUCAAAUAAAUGUGUGUUAUAACCAGAUUCAAUCAAACAGUAAAAAAAUGUUAUCAUCACAAAGGAACUGAGUUGUGACUUAAUGAUGAUUGGAACAAAGUUAAAUUAUUUGAUAUUAAAAUUGUAAUAACUCAUUAUAAUAUUUGUAUUAUAUUUGUAUGUUCUUUGUUUCCUGUGAUACUUUUUUCAUUGAUUUUCAUCUCUAAUGAUUAUUCAAUCUGAUCUUUUUUUUUCUCGUUUCGAAUAUAAAUCGAUUUAUCUCAACUUCCACAGCGCGCUACAAAGAGAAAUCCUCGACUCGACGAACGUACAAUCUCGUAAUUUAGUUUAAUGUUCCCGUGGAUUGCGCGAGUAAGUUGCGAUAGGUCAAUCGAUGUCGUAAGGCUGCUUAUAGUCACGUAUUCCUCUUUUGUGACGAAUAUCGAGACAUGAUAUAUUACAAGAACAUCUUUUACGAGAUAGUCCUCCUAUCUUCGAUUUCUCCUCUUUUGUCGCAUGUAACUCGAAGGUAAAUCGAUAAGGGACUAUAUCGCGUUACGUCGGCGAAGCGUAUAUAAUUCCGAAAGCGGAACGGGAGGAGGAAGUAAUACCGCACCUCUCCGCACCGUACCGCACCGCACCGCACCGCGCAUCGCUCGCGAAGAAACAAAAAGACGGAUUCGUACUUUAUGCAUGAAAGAGAAGUCUAUGCGUCGAACGAAGGGACGAACAAGGACAAGGAGAGAGGCUCACUGCAUAACGAACAUAGUCGACUCGGUAGUGGUGACCAGAAAAUGGCCGCCACGACGCAAACAAAUGAGCAAGUCUGACCAUUCCCAUGGCAACAAUCUCAAUCAGAUAGGAACUAGCGAAGCAGAGAACAGAGAACGCGCUGGAUAAUAUAUUCGAUACAGGUUAUUUGCGCUUAAUACACUACCUUCAGCAUCGAUGACUCGCAGAGUUGGCAGCAAAUCGAAGAAGGGAGAGCGAACAGUACGAGAAACCGGUUAUCAUUGUUACAGCGUCGUCGCUACCACAAGUCAUGGUCGACUACGAAUAUUCGAGAUGCUGACGUCGUCACGACUUAACCCUUUAUUGUGAUAAUAUACAAAUGUAUUAUUAUUUCAAACCAAAAAACUUUCUCUCGUUUAUUUAAAUGAGCAAAAUCUGAAAAGAAAGAGACAGGAUAUAAUUUGGGUGGAAAUAAAAGAUCAAAUCGGACUUGCGAUCAAAUUCGUCCUACCUCCGAAGACAAACUGUUUGUCUAUUUUAAGGCCGAAUGAAAAAUUUAUAAAGUAUGAAGCAGUCAACGUCAGAGUAGUCCGUAACGUCGGAUAAAGUACUAUCACCUGAUGAAAUCUGAGAUUAAUACUUGGCACUGCUAUUUUUUACCGUUAGAAUUUAUAAUUAAUUGUAUUAAUUGUGCAAUAUCUUUAUAAUGUGGAAUACCAUCAUCAGAUUUAAGUUUACAACGUGCAAUUAUAAUUAACCUAGCAUGCACUGCUAGUCAACAAUCCUACGUGAAACGUUUCCCAGUAUUCGAUGAUGUAUACGUGUAACGGUAGAUUGCGAUUUCGAGGUCAAAUGUCAGACUUGGAUCCGCACAAUCCGUUAAGGCAUAACUAAAUAACAAAGUAACAUGUUUAUGAAAGAAAAUAUAAGCAUGAAUAAGUUUAAAUAAAUAAAAUAUUAUUUUAUACUUAUUCACGAUAUUAUGCGAAAUAAUCGUUCGAGUUUACAACUCAUAAACCUUUAGAAAAAAAUAUUAAAGAAGACAUAUAUGGAUAUCACACGUCCAGAUAAUAUCGAAUAAUACCGGAAUGAAAGUUUCGUUAAGCUAGCAGAGGAACAGUGGCUUUAAUUCGAAUUCUCCCUCUCCUCCCUCAUAUAUUACACUGUUUUAUAUCUCUUACUUUUGUUUUUAUUGCACACUCAUUGUUGUUUUCCACUUUGUUUUAUGGCUUUGAAAAAACUAAAUAUAAACUAAUAAAUGUGUAUUUCUCAUGCGAAUGAGAUAUAUAAUGUUUAUAUCGCAAGUAUAUAUCAAUACUUUUCUUUUAUUAUUUUCAUAAUUUUAUCUUUGAAGUAGAAAGAAGGCGGAAGCAGUAAAUUAGGAAAUUAAAAUGAGUAUAUGAUCAAUAUUGUACUUUGUGAGAAUAAAGUGUAAUUAAAUGCUUUACGUUUAACAUAGAAUUAAGGUAAGAUACGUUUAUACUUGGAUGCAAUAUAUUAAAUUUUAGGAAUUUUUCAACUUUUUUUGAAAUAAAAAUGUUUCUACACUA
Molecule: long non-coding RNA, 2508 nt
Organism: Wasmannia auropunctata (little fire ant)
Lineage: Eukaryota; Metazoa; Arthropoda; Insecta; Hymenoptera; Formicidae
Exons: 2
Source: RefSeq, a predicted model, not a curated record